GAGUUUGAUCAUGGCUCAGAAUCAACGCUGGCGGCGUGCCUAACACAUGCAAGUCGAACGCGAAAGGGGAGCAAUCCCUGAGUAGAGUGGCAAACGGGUGAGUAACACGUGGGUGACCUGCCUUCGAGUGGGGGAUAACGUCCCGAAAGGGACGCUAAUACCGCAUGACAUCCUGCUUUUGGAAAAGCGGAGAUCAAAGCUGGGGAUUCGCAAGAACCUAGCGCUUGAAGAGGGGCCCGCGCCUGAUUAGCUAGUUGGUGAGGUAACGGCUCACCAAGGCUACGAUCAGUAUCCGGCCUGAGAGGGCGGACGGACACACUGGGACUGAGACACGGCCCAGACUCCUACGGGAGGCAGCAGUGGGGAAUUGUUCGCAAUGGGCGCAAGCCUGACGACGCAACGCCGCGUGGAGGAUGAAGAUUUUCGGAUCGUAAACUCCUGUCGAGCGGGAAGAACAGCUUUGGAGUAAAUACCUCUGAAGCCUGACGGUACCGCUAAAGGAAGCCCCGGCUAACUCCGUGCCAGCAGCCGCGGUAAUACGGGGGGGGCAAGCGUUGUUCGGAAUUACUGGGCGUAAAGGGCUCGUAGGCGGCCAACUAAGUCAGACGUGAAAUCCCCAGGCUCAACCUGGGAACUGCGUCUGAUACUGGAUGGCUUGAAUUCGGGAGAGGGAUGCAGAAUUCCAGGUGUAGCGGUGAAAUGCGUAGAUAUCUGG
Molecule: ribosomal RNA, 715 nt
Filed under: uncultured bacterium
Lineage: Bacteria
Description: bacterial SSU rRNA
Rfam family: Bacterial small subunit ribosomal RNA
Source: RNAcentral